This is a long non-coding RNA of Cryptomeria japonica (Japanese cedar), 3122 nucleotides long. RefSeq lists it as uncharacterized. The record is from RefSeq and is a predicted model, not a curated record. The transcript has 3 exons. Lineage: Eukaryota; Viridiplantae; Streptophyta; Pinopsida; Cupressales; Cupressaceae.
CAAGUAAUGAAAUAGCUCUCAUCCAUGGCCAUGUCAGUAUGCAUGGGAAAAAAUAAGUAUCAUGUCUAGAGAGUGUCUUGGAUGAAUCCAUUGCCAAUGAUGGUGGUGGUUAUAAUUUCAAAUAGACAAAUCAUCUAUAAUGAUUACAUGAGAGAAUUUACUAUACAAUGAGAGUGACCUGAUGCUUUGUUAAAAUCUAGCAGUUAUUAAGGGAAUACUCCAAUGACUGAAAAAAUCUUAAAAAAAUAAGGAACAAGAAAGUUUCCAGUCAUAUUCAAUGCCACAGCUUGCUGCAAAAUCCAAUAUGUAAAACUUAUGUCCUCUUGCUGUAAGUGCCUUGGAGAAAGUAUCAAUCAAUUGUCCAGCCAAGCUUGCUGGAGCAUCAGGCUGGAUCAUCAGACAUGGUGUCAACAAAAACAGACUAUUCUUUGCCCUGAGAUGUUCUUGUAAGCUGAACCAUGUAGGAAACUUUAUGUGGAAUUCCUUCUGUAUAUGACCUUUACAUUCUAACCAACGAAUCAUCUUAACACAAUAUUUACAAUUUUUCUCCAAGGAACCAGGUGAAUCCAGAGAGGAACUACGAACAGCAUUAGGGAGAGUCCUGUCACAGUUGUGUAAGUCACCAUAUCUGUUGGACCUUUUGCUUGAGCCACCAAUUUGUGGCUCUAUGGCAGCCACUUCCUUGAUUGGAUUUACAGCUCAAUUCUCAGAAUUACCAUUAGGUUUUGAUGACCAUUUCUUGAGAUUCCAUUUCCAGUGCCAUUCUCUUUGCAUACGCUGAUAGGAAUUACCGGAUGUGAACAAUCAAAAGGAACUACAUCCAUUUCAUUUCAAGAGGGCAUGCUGACCUCAUUAUCGUUGCAAGUCUCCUCUAACAGUGUAACCUUAGAAUGAUUUUCAUGAUCACUUUUAGGAAGUUCCUUCUCCUUUUUUUUAUCACUUGAAUUUGUUGAAUCUCUGUGAAUCCGCUUGAACACAAGAAGUCUGCAUCAAACCUGUUUCAACCACUAUGUUCCUCAUCCAGGGCAGAAACUGAGUCUCCAUAUGCAUCUUCAGGGUCUCCACUUUCAGUUGAAUAACAUCUUUUGAUGAAUUAUGUCAAGCUCAUUUAAGACAAUUACAACAGAUGCUGAUGAGAUAUCAUCAAAUUCAAUUUUUGAAGCAAUAGGAACCAAAUCACCUGUUGCCAAUAGAACAAAGGUCAGAUAUGCAUUUGGUAAUUUGAAAAAGAUACGGCUAAAUAUUGCUAGGAAUGCCAAAGUUCCUUAAUAAUGUAUGUCCACUUCAACUAAUACAUACAAACUAUCCUUACAAAUAAUAUAUUCUACAAUCUGAAGAAACAGAGAAAAACUGUUCCAGCUUAAUCAAGAAAAGGUUUUGCUAUUAAAAAGACUAUAUAACUCACCUGCCUAACAAAUUCUAUUCCAUGGAGUGCGUUAUCUCUGAUAUAAACAUUAGUGCUUGCUUGGGAUACCCAAGAGAGCAUAGCAUCUACUUCUUCUAUGCCCAUGGCACAUAGUUUCUGUACCUCCAAUCCUGAAGAUAGUCUACUGACAAUUCUACGGGUCAUCUUGUGAUUUACUCUAUUCAUUGGUUCUACUUCCUCUUCAAGUUUCUUUGCUACCACUUCUACAAUCUCAUGUAACUCUCUGUACUGAAAUGUACCAUUUAGAAACCUGUGACUUAAAGAAAUGCGGAAGCAAAGAAUAUCUGCUCUCUGACCAUCCUUUGCAAUUACCAACUGUUUGCUCCAGCAUCUGCAGUGGACAAUUUUCACUGCAUAUGAAUGAUGAAAUAUUGAAGGCAUUCUUAUAUUGAAACAAUUAAGUCCUUUUGUUUUACUAUUUUUAAUUCCUUGGCUGCGUUUAAACCCAUCAAGACUGUAUCAACACAAAUAACAAAUCAGACUUUAAGUUGAUAUAAGAGAUGAAUUUCGUAACAAAGUUUAUUAAAAAAGAUUAAAGGAUAAAAAUUGCCAGUAUACCUCACUGAAAUAAAGACGAAAAUCACAAAAAUGAAUAAAACUGGAGACUGUCAGAGUAAAUGAUUUAAGCAGAACCAAAGCCACAAAACAAGCAGUACAAUUGCAUUGUAAUUGUGCCGAUUAAAUAGGCUUACAGACAAAAGUCAAAUUGGCUAUCUGUGCAAAACCUUCACUACCAAACAAAAUGAAGUCUUAAUAGCACUUAUAAUUUGAGGGCUAGUUGAAACAACUAACUCUAUAAUAUAUCUAAACGACCUAGCCACCAGCCCAUCCUGCCCUCCACCCUGAUGACUAAACCAGAUACAAGGGUAGAGAUUAAUAUCACUUAUUCUGUUAGUGUUUCUUCUUGGGUGCUAACUUGUUAUAUGCAGCCUUGAUAGGGAGGCCAUAUCGGUCCUAAUAGUGUUGUGCAGAUUUAAAAUCCUUUACAGAAAUAUUAAGGGUGUCAUUCACUCAUAUUAUGUCCUCCAUUGUCUGUCACAGGGCCUUGUUCAUGGAGCAGGGUUGUUUUCUUUUACCAGACAUGUCGUGUCGGAUGAGAAGGAAGGCUUGGGUGGUUAGACUGCUGCAGUCUUAUUGACCGGUUCACAGUCAUAUUCUCUGUAUCAGUUACCAAGUCAUCUCCUUAGACUAGGCCAUAUCCUUUAAUUUUAGGCCUGCAGUAGAGUUCAUCUCCAUUACUAUGAAUUUUGCGUACUACUCCAUCUGCUGAUUCAGCUAGGUUAUUCUCUUCCUACUCCCUCUUUUCUCUUGGUGGAAUUGAUGAAAAAUAUGGUCAACAAUAAAUAGUUGUAAAGAGGAUGGGAGGCGAAUUCGACAUCUGAAAGUGCUGCUCGUGAUAUUCAUUGGCUCCCUGGCUGGAAUUAACACCAUCAAAUUUGAAAUUACUACGGUCAUAUUAGACCACAUCUUGGUGAGGUAUUUUGUCAUAUAAUCUGCUACUUAAAUUAACUGUCAGUAUUCCAAGACAUUUGAAAUUGUAAAUCACUUAAAAUUGAUGCUUUCACAUUUUGCAUGCAUGUUUAUUAUAAUGUACACAAAUACAAGUGACAAAAAAAAUCACUUUUAAUAAUUUUUAAUGCAUCUUUAACCUGUAUCAAAGCUCCCAUUGUGGCACAAGCUUGGAAGAUGGUGUCAA